UACGUAGGUGGCAAGCGUUAUCCGGAAUUAUUGGGCGUAAAGCGCGCGUAGGCGGUUUCUUAAGUCUGAUGUGAAAGCCCCCGGCUCAACCGGGGAGGGUCAUUGGAAACUGGGGAACUUGAGUGCAGAAGAGGAGAGUGGAAUUCCAUGUGUAGCGGUGAAAUGCGCAGAGAUAUGGAGGAACACCAGUGGCGAAGGCGGCUCUCUGGUCUGUAACUGACGCUGAUGUGCGAAAGCGUGGGGGAUCAAACAGGAUUAGAUACCCUGGUAGUCCACGCCGUAAACGAUGAGUGCUAAGUGUUAGGGGGUUUCCGCCCCUUAGUGCUGCAGCAAACGCAUUAAGCACUCCGCCUGGGGAGUACGACCGCAAGGUUGAAACUC
Molecule: ribosomal RNA, 381 nt
Filed under: uncultured bacterium
Lineage: Bacteria
Description: bacterial SSU rRNA
Rfam family: Bacterial small subunit ribosomal RNA
Source: RNAcentral